RNAcentral lists this ribosomal RNA (698 nucleotides) under uncultured bacterium. RNAcentral describes it as "bacterial SSU rRNA". It matches the Rfam family "Bacterial small subunit ribosomal RNA", at positions 70 to 741 of the family's 1533-position model. The record is from RNAcentral.
AUCGGAGUGCUUGCACUCUGUGAAACAAGAUACAGGCUAGCGGCGGACGGGUGAGUAACACGUGGGUAACCUGCCCAAGAGAUCGGGAUAACACCUGGAAACAGAUGCUAAUACCGGAUAACAACAGAUGAUGCCUAUCAACUGUUUAAAAGAUGGUUCUGCUAUCACUCUUGGAUGGACCUGCGGUGCAUUAGCUAGUUGGUAGGGUAACGGCCUACCAAGGCGAUGAUGCAUAGCCGAGUUGAGAGACUGAUCGGCCACAUUGGGACUGAGACACGGCCCAAACUCCUACGGGAGGCAGCAGUAGGGAAUCUUCCACAAUGGACGCAAGUCUGAUGGAGCAACGCCGCGUGAGUGAAGAAGGGUUUCGGCUCGUAAAGCUCUGUUGUUGGUGAAGAAGGACAGGGGUAGUAACUGACCUUUGUUUGACGGUAAUCAAUUAGAAAGUCACGGCUAACUACGUGCCAGCAGCCGCGGUAAUACGUAGGUGGCAAGCGUUGUCCGGAUUUAUUGGGCGUAAAGCGAGUGCAGGCGGCUCGAUAAGUCUGAUGUGAAAGCCUUCGGCUCAACCGGAGAAUUGCAUCAGAAACUGUCGAGCUUGAGUACAGAAGAGGAGAGUGGAACUCCAUGUGUAGCGGUGAAAUGCGUAGAUAUAUGGAAGAACACCGGUGGCGAAGGCGGCUCUCUGGUCUGUUACU